This is a non-coding RNA of Cajanus cajan (pigeon pea), 250 nucleotides long. The record is from RefSeq and is a predicted model, not a curated record. NCBI's taxonomy places the organism in Eukaryota, Viridiplantae, Streptophyta, Magnoliopsida, Fabales, Fabaceae.
CAUCAUCUCCCCAUCCUUUGACCUCUGAAACAUCAGCAGUCACCAGAUCCUCUGUCUUCGCCUACAACCACAUGAAUAAACUUACAUGAAAGAAAUCAAGGAUUGUCCUGUUGGUGUCGUUUAACAGUUGAGGGAGGUGAACAUAUCUAAUUAUCUGUGUGAUUUUAUAAUCCACCUGUCUUUCUAUUAAUGGGAGAUUCAGUCAUUCAGAUCCACCGGUUUGUAUUUUAUCUUUUUGUUUUUCAUAGAG